Molecule: ribosomal RNA, 304 nt
Filed under: uncultured bacterium
Lineage: Bacteria
Description: partial 16S ribosomal RNA
Rfam family: Bacterial small subunit ribosomal RNA
Source: RNAcentral
CAGCAGCCGCCGCGGUAAUACGUAGGGUGCGAGCGUUAAUCGGAAUUACUGGGCGUAAAGCGUGCGCAGGCGGUUUGUUAAGACAGAUGUGAAAUCCCCGAGCUUAACUUGGGAACUGCAUUUGAAACUGGCAAGCUAGAGUCUUGUAGAGGGGGGUAGAAUUCCAGGUGUAGCGGUGAAAUGCGUAGAGAUCUGGAGGAAUACCGGUGGCGAAGGCGGCCCCCUGGACAAAGACUGACGCUCAGGUGCGAAAGCGUGGGGAGCAAACAGGAUUAGAUACCCCUGUAGUCCCUGUCUCUUAUAC